GCGGGCGCUCCAGUCCUCACCUGAGCACGCCGACGCUUCCGCGCGUGCGCCGCGCGGCCACUAGAUGGCGUCAGUCAAACGUGCAAAACGCGGGCGCCGGCUCCACACGCUCCCGCCCGGCGUCGCUCAGGAAGAGGAAGGGCGGGCUGAGGCAGGUUGUGGAGAAGAGGCAGGGACAGCGUGUGGGUAGGACUGAGGUUCUCGGUGAAACAGACCAUCAUCUGAGAGCAAAGACGUUGGAAGGGCUGUUGGAGAUUCGAGUAGUGACAAGCUGUGAGACGAUCACCACACAGAGUCACAGCAUGAACGGAACAGGAAGAUGUAGAAGGAAUGCCGACACUCCUGGGGGUUUGCGGUCGUGGAUUUAAGUCAAGCAGUGCAUUCUCCCAGUGGAUUCUCAAGACAGGCUGCAUGGAAUGUGGCGUUGCCUCUCUGGACAUGCACCAUUUGUUUCCAUCGUGGAGAGGACCUGAUCCCCACUGUCCUCUAGGUGACUAGGACUCUCCCACAAAGGGGCCCCUCUUCUGCAGCCAGGAAGACCAGUCCAGGACAUGCCUCUGCAAUCAUUUGGUUUAGUAAGUAUCUGUUGAGAGAAUGUUGAAUGGACACACCAGGAGAAGAGGAGACCAAGCCAGACACUGGAGGAGUCUUAUGGGGUAUAAAUGGUUUGGUUACAUAAAUUGCCUUUGUACCACCCAAGUCAGAGCUACAAGCAUGCCCAUCUCCAGACAGGGCAAACCACAUUGCUAGAAGAGAAGAACUAAGACACAGAUAUGCUUUCACAAGCCUGCUGCUUCCACUGCCGUAGAGGACUAGAGCCAAAUAUAGGACUUGUUGACUGAGAAGGAAGUCUCAGAAUGUUUUUGAAAGUAUCACGUAAAGGGAUACCAUCCAGGUAAGUGGAAUCCAGCAAACUGGAGUCAUCAGCUGACUUCAAGGAAAAGGAAACAUUAUUCGUCAAGUAACUCCAGUGUGCCUGAUUCAGGUCAGGACCAACAAACCAUAGCCUGAGGGUAAGUAAAUGCUUUACCUGAUUUUCUACAGCCUGUGAACUACGAAAGUUUUUUGCAGAUGAACAUUUGCAAUUGAUUUGAUGAUGCAGGAAAAUUAACUUUUAACCCAAAUUAAGGGACAUGCAAUCCCCCCCCCCAAAAAGAGUCCCAUUUUCUUAUUAUAGACAUGCUAUUAAGAAAAAAAGGUACUCAAUUAUUAUUAUUAUUUUAGUAUGUUAUAUGUUAUAAUAAUUGUUGUCUCGAAUUUUUUGAACACACACAUUUGUUUCCUCUCUUGUAUAAGUACCCACAUAAUACUGUUGAUUUUGCCUCUUGGUCUACAGAGCCUAAAAUAUUUACUAUGUGGUUCAUUAUAGAAAAUGUUUACCUUACAAUUGCAACAACUUACGUUACAGAUGAGAAAAGUGAGGGUCUUCGCAAAAGAUAAGUAAGUUGUUGAAAGUUACCUGGCUAUUGACAAUGGUGCAGAGAUUGUGGGGAUUUCCAAAAGCAAAUUCAUAGCAGCAAUCUGGGAGGAAAUGGAAAAGAACAAAAACCAAUUAUGGUGGGUGGCAUGGGGUUCCUGGCUCAGAACACACCUUCCCUGGGUUCCUGAACUUGUUUUUGGCCAAUCGAGCGCCUGGACGUCUGGACCCAGGAACACAUCAGAAUGACCUCAGGAUCCCGUGGGAUUCUCAAACAACCCUGGGGACAUCCUAUUCUCCUCUCUCCACUCCACUGGCUAAAGUAUUUACAAAAAAAUUUUAAAGCUUUUCAAUAGCAAGGUUUUAUGUUAAAGCAUGUUAGGUAAAGCCUAGUGAAGCUGUUAAGCACGUGAGCCUUGUGGCAAGAACACCUGCUUCAACGCUCAGCUCCACUCUUCCUAGCUGUGUGACCUUGGGCCAGGGAACUCGAUGGGGGCACCUCAAUUUGCUCAUUUUUUAAAUAAGACAUAACAGAACCUAUUCAUAAGUCUUCUGUGAGCUGCAAGGGAGUUAAUAUUUGCAACAUGAUCAGUGCAGUACCUGGCAUAGCACGAGCACUUUAUCAGCAUAUAUUAAAUAAUAAAAUAAAUGCUCAAUUAAUCAGAAAAUUAAAUCUCUACAUCCAAAAAACACAUCUCUUCACUUUCUAGUUAAUCAGAAUUGUCCUGUGUUAAAUGCUUCCCAAAAGACAGAGUCAAAGAAGAGAAACUUGAAAGCAAUAGCACUGUCUCAACUUCCCUGACGUGAUCAUUCUCUGGCAGGGGGCAGAGAAGCAUGAGGAGCAUGUAUUCUUUCUGCCACCUUCAGCCUAGGGAUGUACUGCCCAACUCUCUGAUCUAGAAAAAUGACCUGGGGUCUCAGCAGAUCACAAUUAUUUAUGGUAUCAUUAAUCCAGAAAAAUGCAGCCCAUUGGUGACAUCUUGCCCUUUAACAUCGGGAGAAUAUGUUUGUUUCCAUGUUUCCACUCUCGGGUUUCAGAAAGCCAUACUCAAGUGUACUCCUGCCUAUACCUUAAUUAAGAUUCUUCACCACUCCCCCUCCCCCCCCCCGACACAACACACACACAAAUGGUGCUCAGUGCUGCUAAGGGUGUGAGACAGACACUCUCAUACCCUGUCAGUUAGGAAAAGCAAUUGCGAUAUUUCCAUCAAGAGCCUUAAACAUAAUCUUAGCCAGAAAUUCCACUUCCAAGAAUAUCCCUCAAAGACAUCAAGACAAAAAGGAUGUGCCUGGUGGGGUGGUGGGUGGGAGUUGUAGAAUUUGAAAGGGAAGAACUUAGUCUGACUCACUCUGGGAGUUGCCUGGGAGGUGUGUGGGCAUCUGAAACCAGAGGGCAGUGGGUGGUGCGUGUCUGGGGGUCCUUUUGUGAGCACACCUGCCACCAGUGCGUGCCCAUGCUGUAGAGCCACCUGCCACAGAACACCACAGCACCUACCAGUCCCAGCGCGGUUCACCCACGUGUCACAAGCUUUGUCUACCCGACUCAGAGUCGAUCUGGGAGCCAGACCCGACUCUACCCUGGCUAGUAGGACAAUUCCUGGGCUUUUGUGGGUUAACUUCAUGGAAAUGAGUCUGGCCAAAGGACAGAGGACACGCUAGGACACACUCUGCGUCCUGUAGGGGACUGGCCUGGCUCAGUCAGGCCUGAGGCUCGGCUGUGCCUUCUGCUCUAGCCUUUUCCUCAGCUCAGUCGGUCUUGGGGACCUACUAUGUGAGAAAGUGUCUUGAAAGUAAAAUUUGUAUACAAAUAUGAGGGAUUAUUAUCUACAUCCACAAGAUUUCAGAGUCUUUUAAUCUUCUUAGGUUAGAUUCUCAGAUGCCCUAGGGUGUCUUGAAUUUUUUUUUUUAUCAUAACUCAAGGUAAUUAAUCUCCAAUUACCUGGAUAAUGAAUCAGCAAAUAACUGGAAUGCUACACUUCUAAGGGAAACUUUCAGAAUCAAGUAGGGGACCCCAGAUCAAUAUUGUUAAUAUUGAGAGGUGCAGGGCGGAGGGUGGGUUAAGACACUCACACAUUUAACAUAGAAGAGGAACUUGCAUUGAGUCAAUGAGAGACGGCAGAGCUGGGAUUUGAACCCAGGGCGUCUGACCAUGAGCCAGAGUGCUUUCCCCAAACUGCAACUGGUCUUUCAGCAGGGCUCAGCAUUUCCGUGUGCUGUCAGGCCUCUACUGCACAAAUGUUCCAACUCACAUUGAGGACAUCUAAUCUGUUCUGUGAUUUCUGGAGCCACUUGGGAAAUGGAAGAGGAAUUACCCAGAUGCGUCAUUCCAUGUCAGCAGGUGAACUGUAACGGAGCUUUCAUUACUAUUUCAUUAUUUAUGUAUUUGUUGAGAAACAACAAAACAGAAACAGAAAACAAUGGCAAUAACUGCAGCAUCGCCCCUUGAUGGCUGGUUCCUCACGUUGGUGUUUGUGAGGGACGUGUGGGUGCAUGGGUCUCACACUCUCACACAGCUACCCUUUCUUUGUGAGAUUUGGGGCUGGGGAUAGUUUGUGCAGAAUUAUAUUUCAGGAAUCUAGUGGCUGCAUUUUGGGGGGUGCACACGAGAGAGAGUAAAGACACUGUGUGCAUGAUUGACAGUGUGCCCCUGCAAUGACUCUUCGAUAACCACUGAAACCCUGGAUUUACCUAUCUUAUCUUUUUUACUCUCUUUUAACUAGAAAAGGAAAUGUACAGUGACCUAGGACUCUUUUUAGUCCUCGGUUCCAUUCGCCACAGGUGCCCAGUGUCCAUGCUGUCCUUCAGUAGUUUGCACUCUAUCUUUACCAGAGACCUCCAAAGCCCUCUCCUCUCCUUCUUCCAAGGCUGAGGAGGACAUUGGAUUCCUUCUGCACUUGGUUGUUGAUGAAACUCAUGAGGGUCUCCCAAAGAAUCAUUCCGAAGCCUGUGCCACGCACGGCCUGGGAGAACUCAAAGGCUCUCAAACCCAGGGAGUGCAAAUCUCUUCCAACAUGACCUUGCAGAACCCAAAAAAGAACAGGAAGCCUCAGAUUCCAGUGGAAAUUUCCCAUUUGGCUUUAUGCUAAAGACCCCAUCUCCAAGAUAAGAGAAGAGGAUGCCUUCACCCUCAGGCACGAGGGUGAAGCAGCCAGUGCACCCACCUAGAAGGGAUGUGCUCAUGUCUCCUUAACCCUCGUUAUUCAGACCCACUGGAAUCCCAGCUGCUUCUAAGUAUUUCAAGUAAAUGAAAAAAGUUAAGCGUUUCGAAACUUUUUUGGCCAUGCUCUUUGGUAGGUGAAUGCAUCUCCCUGGCGUCAAAAUAUGCCCUCUCAAGAACCUUCAUGACCUAGAUCAUCCAUGGUCCAGGAGUUGGUGUCACCUUGCCUUCCAGUCUCCUCCUGCGGAUCUAAAGCACAGGCAUGCACUGGGGGGAUGGAUUGCUGGGAGAGGGGCCAGGCUGGAGAUGUGGAUGGAACAGCGUAGCAAGGAGUGGGGUAGAGGUUGAAUAGGGACGUCAGACGAAUGAGUCCAACCUGCUCCUCCAUUCUGUGUCUUCAGCUGGUGAAAGGGCAGAGGCGGGGUCAGCCCUUAUGGUCAGUACAAACCCCCUCCCCACUUCUACUCUCCUGAAAGUGUUCUUAGGAAAGAGGCCAGGAGCUGUCCUUCUCUCUGGGUGAGACGCCUUGGUGUUCAGAUAGUCCAGCCAAGCCUAUCUUGGAUUAUACAGACCAGGAAAACAGCUUGACAGCCACACAAUCAUUAGUCUGGAAAGGUUUCUGUGAUAAGGCAGAAUGGCUUGAGGCAUGAGAAUGCCAGGCAGCACCUGGCAUAUAAGCUUUCAUCCCAGGGCCUCUUCCACCACUGACCCCACCCUGCCCACUCCUCUGCAUGCUUUUCUCAUGCACCAUCUGUUCCAAACAAGCCUCCACCUCCCCCAGCACCGCCUCCAUUGGCUGCAAGCCUUUGCCGCAUGGCUGAGACCACAUGCGCCACUUAUCCCAGCCUCCGCUCCACACCAGUGGGAUGAUUGGAUGUCAUUUCAACAAGGCCCUGGAAGAAGGUUGUUAAGAGCUGUCAUUUCCUUUUUCUAAACCUAUUCAUAUCAGUUGUUGUCAACCAUCAGAAUCUCGUGGACUCACGGAGAGGUGUCUGAGCCCGGGGAACAUUUGGCAUAUGGCGAGCAUGAGUGCGCUUAUGAGCUCUGCCUCAUCCCUGAUGGAGCUCUAUCAUCCACAGCCAAGCCUCCAAACUCAGUGAUUUACAAACCCCAGGCUUUUUUGGUCUGUCUCCUCCCCAGGGUGAUUCCCAAGCCCGGCUUUGCCUGGAAAGUACCAGGUGCGUUUGGUCUGGGGUUGAUGAGAUGUCUCUUUUUGUUUGGCUUUUAAAAGCCAGACAAGAAGAACACUGGGGACAUCAAACACAUUGUAGUUGCAGAUGAAGAAAUUAUUCUGAAAAAAGCUAGAUUAGCUUAGUUGUGUGUAUGUGAGUGUAUGUGAAUGUAUAUGAUAUAGAAACUAUUCAAAGGUAGGUUUCCAGGGAUUUUGCAAUGCACGUGUGUGUGUGCACACACAAACACACACAUGCACACCAAAAUACUGGCAGAGGAUCAGACUUUUGGGAAAAAUUAUGUUAUCUGAAACUCAUGCAAACACUAAGAUGACAUGUUUCUUUCCUUCAGCAGAACCCUUAUGUUUCAGUUUAAUAGGCAUUUGUUUUUGACCACACAAUAACUGAAUCCUCUUUAUAGGAGGAAUUCCCAUAUGGCAGGCUGAAAAUUCUGAUUUUUUUUUUCUCUUUUCAUGGU
Molecule: non-coding RNA, 6221 nt
Organism: Microcebus murinus (gray mouse lemur)
Lineage: Eukaryota; Metazoa; Chordata; Mammalia; Primates; Cheirogaleidae
Source: RefSeq, a predicted model, not a curated record